This 288-nucleotide ribosomal RNA is filed under the name uncultured bacterium. Its description in RNAcentral is "partial 16S ribosomal RNA". It matches the Rfam family "Bacterial small subunit ribosomal RNA", at positions 338 to 618 of the family's 1533-position model. The record is from RNAcentral.
CCUACGGGGCGCAGCAGUAGGGAAUCUUCCACAAUGGACGAAAGUCUGAUGGAGCAACGCCGCGUGAGUGAAGAAGGGUUUCGGCUCGUAAAGCUCUGUUGGUAGUGAAGAAAGAUAGAGGUAGUAACUGGCCUUUAUUUGACGGUAAUUACUUAGAAAGUCACGGCUAACUACGUGCCAGCAGCCGCGGUAAUACGUAGGUGGCAAGCGUUGUCCGGAUUUAUUGGGCGUAAAGCGAGUGCAGGCGGUUCAAUAAGUGUGAUGUGAAAGACUUCGGCUCAAAAGGAG